GCCGCCAGUCGGCGAGCAGGCAGCUGCCGGUACUCCUCUGAGAGGAGCGGCGCCGGGGGGCAGCGGUGCGAAACCCGCCGACCCGGCCCGACUUCGCCUGCGACUUCCCGGAACGGUAAGCCCCGGGCCCUAGCGCUGUUGGCCCAGCUCGGGGCCGAAAGCUGCUGCGCCGCGACCCCUCCCUCAGGCUCGCUCAGGCGGCUGGGGCGCUGAGGUGUGACACGGCACGCCUCAGGGUUGUUUGCGGGCGAAAAGCCCGAACCCGCCCUGACACUACGAGCCUUCCUGCCCCGCCGCCCUCGAAGACCUGCCCUCCCGGAGCGCCGGAGUCCUCAGCGGCGCCGAGGGCCCCUCCCCUGGGCUUGCGGGCUCUGAGGAAACUCUCCUGCUCUUAGACUGAAAACCUGGCUGCUCUGUGUCUAGACUGUAGAAGUUCCGGAGAUGAACAGUGCUGACGGUUGCACAACAAUGUGAAGGUGUGGCCUAGGGACCAAGCCUCGAUCUCCCUGACACACGGGUUACCUGACAGCAGGACAGAGGGGUGACCGCCCUCCUGAAGAGGCAGGAGGAGGCCAGGACAUCCCGCCACCCGACGCCGGUCCUGCACAUGACAGUUUUCUGCCGUCAGCUCUGACCCAUGUCCUUUCACAAGGAAAAGGUGAUAAUGGGGGAGGAAACCGAGGCAGAGAAGCUCUCAUGCCUCACAGAAGGUGACUCUCUUGGGUGAGAGAACUACACAGUAGGGAGCAGUGUGACCUUGGAAUGACCUCCCCUCUCUGAGCCUCGGUUUCCUUAUUAGUAAACUGGAGACGUGAACUCCCACCUCACAGACCCGCUGUUUGGUAGAGAAAGGGGCGACUCCGAGUCCAAAGCCUUGUCCAUCAGGCUCGCCCACUAGGUGGCCGUCAGCGUCUACGAGCCCUGCCUGGACAGAGGCCAGUCACAGGUCUGCAGGCCCUUCGGAAUCACGUGCCCAGCUUCUGUGUUACCACCCAGCACGAGCCAGUCGGCUACAGUGAACUGUCAGCUCUUCAAGACAGAUUUGUGUUUCUGUUGAUCCACUGACGUGUCCCAAGUGCUUCAAAAAGUGCCCGGCACAUAACACAAGGAGAAAGCGGCCAUCUACAGUUUUCACCAGGAACCAUUCCUGCUGGACCUUGAUCUGGGACUUCCAGCCUCGAGGGUGAGAAACAGAUGUCUGCAUAGUGUGAGCGCCCCAGUCCAUAGUUCUUUGAGAUAGCAUAUGCUUGUCCAUAGUCCCAGUCCAUAGUAUUUUGUUCUAGCAGCCUGACCCGACUGAGGGCCAGAGAAGACACACGAAAGCAGGCACAAGCCUGGGAGGCAAGGGGAAGGAGAGAAGAGGGAGAGGCCGCCAAAUGUACCUAAAGAGGAGCUGGGGAGAAAGCAGAGGCGAGAUGGCUGGGGCAGGGCAGAGGCCUGGGGCCAGGGCUUUGCUUAUGGGGGACACACAGUUAAUAAUCACACACCUACCUUCAGGCCCAACGCGAAAGCCUGGGAACACAGGAUGACAAGACACAGCCCCUGCUCCUCAAUCAGGGAGACUGAAGGAAAGGGAAGACCUCACAGGACAGGCCCUCCACCUGGGGCUUCAAGGCGAUGAAGGAUUCUGCCAGCUGGUUCAGGGAUGGGGGGACACGAGAGAGUGCCCCCAGUAGAGGCCAAAGCUUAGGCAAAGCCUCUGAGGAGGGGGCAGAAUGGCAUGGGGGACAGGAGAGGGCACUGGGCUUGACUGUGCCUUUCCAGGUGUGUCUGAGGUCACUGUGAAAAGGCUGCAGGUAAGUCCAUGCCGCGGGGAGGGAGCAAUUCCAUUACCAGCAGCAGCAGACAGGCCAGUCCUGUCCCUCCUCCCUGCACCGCAGCCACCCCUCACCUAACGAGUCCUUGAGGGCGUGGGUGAGCUUGCACUGCCGGAAGGGGAUGUGGUCUCGCUUCUGGUCCCCGAGGGCAAUGAUGGCCUGCUCCAGGAAUGACAGCGAUUUGUUGAUGUAGGUGGCUUCCUUCAGGACUCGGCCCUCAGACUACAAACCAAAGGUCAGUUCUGCUUCAGGCCAAGUGGAGAGGCUGCCCCACAAACACGCUGCAGGUCUGCGGCCAGGCCAGAGCCUCCUGCCCAGAAGCAGGGUCUUCUCUUCCUGUCUUGUACUCCACGUUGGGCUAAUAGGAACACUCCCAGGAACGCUGAUGCAGAUAUUCAUGAGUGAAUGCUCAUAUGAAUGUGAAUACUUGUGUGAAUAUUCAUAUGAAUACUCCCUUAAGAGUCACACUGUUAUGAACAUACAGGGGAAUAUUUGUGCAGAUAUUUGAGCAAAUAAUCCUGGGAAUAUACAAACAUUCAUUCAACACACAAAUACAAACAUUCAUCUGAAUGCUCUUCUGAAUGCUCUUAUGAAUACUUAUGCUAAUACUCAUAUGAAUAUGUAUGUGAGAUGAAAAAUUCAUGCAAAUAUUCAUCAUAUGAACACUCAUGCACAGAGAAAUGCUAAUAAGAGCAUGGAGCACUGACUGAGCACUGCCUGCCAGGCACUUUGCUGAGAAUUUAGGAGCCAUCAUCUCAUUUAGCGUUUACAACAGUCCUGCCAGGUAGGAACUGCCUCUCUGAUGCAGCUGUUUCACUGCUGCUGUUCAGUUCACACUGAACUGCGCCUAGCUAGGAACGGUGCUCACGAAUGCCCAACGAGGGACAGUCCACGCACACAGACACUAAACUGGAAACAGGGCCAUGGCUUGUUGAGGAGGAACUUCCUGCUCCCCCACUUACCCUAGACUUCCCCAGCCUCUCCGAGCCUGCUAGAUCCACCAGGUUAAUUUUGGAAGUGAUGUACUUUUCAUCUGAUAAGGUCCGUGAACGGGCCUGUGAAACACCCAAAACAGAGGUUAGGUUGUCACAGUGAGAAGCUUCUUACAGAAUAGGCUCUGUGGGAAUCGACCUCCCUUCCCAAGCUACUCAAAGAGCUUGUACUUACCUCCACAUAGAUGGUGAAAAUGCAGUGUGACCUGGAUGAGUUCUUGUUCAUUGUGUGGGAGGCUAUAAUCCUGUUAGUCUCUCCCUGAAGAAGACAGAAAACAUGUAGACAUUUUGACAUAUUGAAAUAACAAGGCAUUUGAAUCAUUUUUUAACUAUACAGAAAUGAUCUUUACAUCACAGCCCUCAGGCAGGCCUUCCAGGGAAAUCUGAUUUAUAAACUAGUAGAACAGAAGACAAAUUGGAGUCCAGACCUAUACUUUCACUCACUGCUAGCAACAUGUGAAUCUGUAUAAUAGCAUUCUGAAAAGCAAAGUGGCAACAAAAAUUAUGAGCCUAAAAAAUGUUCAUGGAUAUUGAGUCAUAACCAACCUACAUAUCCAACAAUUCAGGAAUGAUCUAUCUGGAGAACAAUGUUACGUGACCAGAAGAAUACUGGCAAAUAGCUUUUAAUAACAAUAAUGCAGAAUCCAAAAACUGGAACAAACUGCCUUCAACAGCACGAUGAAAGGACUAUCCACCACAGCCAAAUGGAGUUUACCCUGGACGCAAGGAUGGUCUGACAUACACAAAUCAAUCAGUGUGAUACACCUCAUUAACAAAAUGAAGGGUAAAAUCAUACGCUGGUACAGUCUGAGGAAUGCAGAAGCAUUCAUAGAAGAAAGAAUAAACAGAUGGUGCUACCAAGAUGUUAAUAAUGGUCACUUCCAGGUUGGAGUUUAUAGGUGGAUCUUUUAUAUAUACAGGUUAUGCUUCCAUAUUUUUAAAGUGAACAUGAAUUACAUUUAAACAUUAGGAAAAAAUCAGUAAUUUGUUUCUUUAAAGAGACAGCCCUUGCCUCUAAUUCACAGGACUGGCACUGUGACCAGAAUAUACUUAAAAGGAGACAUGGUAGAGAUGGUUGUACUUAGAGAAAAAGAUUCAUACGGAGGGACUCUUGUCUCCUUAAAGGACCCUGAGAAGUGCUAUGAAGGAACCCCACAUCAGUGGUACUGCCUUCCCCUGCGGAGAGUGGAGCACCUGAAGAGGAGGGGAGGCCCUGCACUGGGGAGGACGCCCGGCUGGCUCCCAGGCUACAUCCCCAAGGUCUCACUGUCACAUUCAACUAACCUAAAGUUAUUUGUUCAUCAAAUUGACAUAUCAAGAAAAAAAGACAAGUCACAGGAGAUAGAAAACAGUUGUAAUACAUACAACUGAGAAAAGAACUAGUUUUCAGAAUUUAUAAUUUAUACAAAUGAGAAAAAAAAAAAGACAUCUGUAAAGAUAAUAA
Long non-coding RNA from Cervus elaphus (red deer), 4253 nucleotides. RefSeq lists it as uncharacterized. The record is from RefSeq and is a predicted model, not a curated record. The transcript has 9 exons. NCBI's taxonomy places the organism in Eukaryota, Metazoa, Chordata, Mammalia, Artiodactyla, Cervidae.